RNAcentral lists this ribosomal RNA (497 nucleotides) under uncultured bacterium. Its description in RNAcentral is "partial 16S ribosomal RNA". It matches the Rfam family "Bacterial small subunit ribosomal RNA", at positions 28 to 507 of the family's 1533-position model. The record is from RNAcentral.
GAUGAACGCUGGCGGCGUGCCUAACACAUGCAAGUCGAACGGAAAGACGAGGUGCUUGCCUGUCUGACGUUAGACGCGGAAGUGAGAGAAACACGCGUAUCCCCUCCCUGUAAGUCUGGGAUCGCUUGGGGAAACCGGAGCUAAUACGAGAUAAGAUAUUGAACCGCGUGGUUCAAUAGUGAAAGACGGCGGUGCUGUCACUUAUAGAUGGGUCCGCGCCGGAUUAGCUAGUUGGUAAGGUAACGGCUUACCAAGGCAACGAUGUGUAGCCGACCUGAGAGGAUGAUCGGCCACACUGGAACUGAGACACGGUCCAGACUCCUACGGGAGGCAGCAGUAGGGAAUCUUCGGCAAUGGGCGAAAGCCUGACGGAGCCACGCCGCGUGAGUGAUGAAGGUCUUCGGAUCGUAAAACUCUGUUAUUAGGGAAGAACAGAUGUGUACUUAAAUAUACACGUCAUGACGGUACCGUAUCAGAAAGCAACGGCUAACUACGUG